Molecule: ribosomal RNA, 449 nt
Filed under: uncultured bacterium
Lineage: Bacteria
Description: partial 16S ribosomal RNA
Rfam family: Bacterial small subunit ribosomal RNA
Source: RNAcentral
AACGAACGCUGGCGGCAUGCCUAACACAUGCAAGUCGAACGAACCCUUCGGGGUUAGUGGCGCACGGGUGCGUAACGCGUGGGAAUCUGCCCUUGGCUUCGGAAUAACAGUUAGAAAUGACUGCUAAUACCGGAUGAUGACUUCGGUCCAAAGAUUUAUCGGCCAGGGAUGAGCCCGCGUAGGAUUAGGUAGUUGGUGGGGUAAAGGCCUACCAAGCCGACGAUCCUUAGCUGGUCUGAGAGGAUGAUCAGCCACACUGGGACUGAGACACGGCCCAGACUCCUACGGGAGGCAGCAGUGGGGAAUAUUGGACAAUGGGCGCAAGCCUGAUCCAGCAAUGCCGCGUGAGUGAUGAAGGCCUUCGGGUCGUAAAGCUCUUUUACCCGGGAUGAUAAUGACAGUACCGGGAGAAUAAGCUCCGGCUAACUCCGUGCCAGCCGCCGCGGUAA